UACGAAGGUGGCAAGCGUUACUCGGAAUUACUAGGCGUAAAGGGCAGGUAGGUGGUUUGGUAAGUCUGUUGUGGAAGCUCCCGGCUUAACUGGGAGAGGUCAACGGAAACUACCAAACUUGAGUGUAGGAGAGGGUACUGGAAUUCCCGGUGUAGCGGUGAAAUGCGCAGAGAUCGGGAGGAACACCAAUGGCGAAAGCAGGUACCUGGACUAUUACUGACACUAAGCUGCGAAAGCUAGGGGAGCAAACAGG
This 253-nucleotide ribosomal RNA is filed under the name uncultured bacterium. Its description in RNAcentral is "partial 16S ribosomal RNA". It matches the Rfam family "Bacterial small subunit ribosomal RNA", at positions 524 to 776 of the family's 1533-position model. The record is from RNAcentral.